Molecule: non-coding RNA, 24 nt
Filed under: Cryptococcus neoformans
Lineage: Eukaryota; Fungi; Basidiomycota; Tremellomycetes; Tremellales; Cryptococcaceae
Also listed under: 7 other names
Source: RNAcentral
UAAGCCCUUGUUCUAUAGAUUUGU